Crotalus tigris (Tiger rattlesnake) is the source of this 4485-nucleotide long non-coding RNA. RefSeq lists it as uncharacterized. NCBI's taxonomy places the organism in Eukaryota, Metazoa, Chordata, Lepidosauria, Squamata, Viperidae. The transcript has 9 exons. The record is from RefSeq and is a predicted model, not a curated record.
GUGAAAAUUUACCUUGGCCUGCUGGUUUUUUGUUUACCACUUCUGACAUUGGAAUACUUUGGACCUGAGGGAAAUAUCCUAUUACCUUGUCACAAAGGAAGGGAUUGUGAGCGUGAUGCAAUGGAUGUGUUUGCUUGGUUGCAGAGAGACUGGAAAACAAAAGACAAUCCUGCUCAACUUCAGAGGCUUUGGGACAUGUUGGAACAUAGAACGAGGCUUGGCUUCCACACCACAUCUCCAAUACAGUUCUAACCCCUAGAAUGGGUUCAUGUCCUUUCUUCGCUACUCAUAUUUGAAAAAUGUCACCAGUGGAAGAUAAGAAAAAAAAAUUAAUGGAAACUUUGCGAGAGCAAGGAAAGGACCAGCGGCAAUGGCACUCUUCAGUAGUCAAACUGAAUGGCUGAACUACUGGAAGAUUAUUUGAAAUUACCCAUUUAGGCAAUUAUGUACCUGUCUGCCAGGACUUAUCCUGGAGUGGUAGGCCUUUCAAAUUCUUUUUCUUGUGCUAUUAUGACAAUUUAGAAAGGAGCUAAAUUUCCCAUUCCAUUUCACUAGGUAGGACUAAGGUAAGACUGUUUUGAUUAAGUGUCUGAACAGACUUUUUUGAACUCUAUUAAAUCAGAGAACAACAGUCACUGCGAAUAUGUGAUGGCUCAGGGUCUUCUUCAUGUUUUCUAUGUCUUUUCUUUCCUAUCAGAAUUCAGAAAUGUGUGGUCGUACUCUAGUAUAUAUUUUUCUCAGGAUAUAUUUUUUAAGUGCAUGUGGGCUUUGUAGGAUAAAAAGAUUUCAUUUAAAAAAAACUACAAUGCCUUCCUAAUUUAAUUUUAUUUUUAUAAUAUGAAGAAAGAAAGAAUUCAGGCAAAAUUCAGGCUAUUCUAUAUCUAUAUUCAUGUUAUGCUGGACAAUUAUAUUAUUAGCAUUCAAGACCAGUAAGGAGAAGAAAAAGAAAGAAAUUAACAUAUUGCCCAGUGUAAGUAAUCUACAUUUUUAAAUAGUGCCCAAACUAGAAUUCCUAUUCAUUCCGAUAAUGAAAGACAAGAGAACUUUCCAGACAAGAUAGAGAGUGGAUGUAAUUCUAAUUAUAUAGCAUCAAUCUCUUUGCAAUCAGAAUAUCCAAUUUUUAAAAUCUUUCUAUUAGUUUCCAAACUGUAGGAACUGUUGCAUUUGGAGUGCUAUGUGUCCAACAAUUAUCUGAACAUAUCAAUUUUUUCCUUAAAAGGAUAGACAUGCAAUUUUUGCAAACUAUUUUUUUUGUUCAUUUAAUUAUGUUUGAAUCUAGAUAUAUGAUAUAUCAGUGCAAAAGUGGUAUUCAUGCACUUGGCGUUCUAAUUCAAUUUUUCAUGCUUCCCUAUAUCCCUGUACAUAUAAUCUGGCAUAUUCCAGCAACUGUUCACAAUUACCUAUUAUUCAUGGGACUACUUAGACACAGUUCUUUCCUUUUGUGCAUAAAGCAUAUACAUCUCCCACAUUUCAUACGGCUCUUAUAGCAACAUGGUCUACAGUGCUAGAGCCAAAAUUCAUCUGCAAAUGUGAAUUUCUACCCCACAAAGCCAACUUGGGAAAUUGCAGUAUGACAUAUUUGAAGGACUUCACAUAGUUUUGCACUAAUGCUUUGUCAAUGCAUGCUUCUCCCCACUGAAAGAAGUUGCAAAAUAUAUGGAACGUAUCCUGUAGAUCAGGGUCCCCAACCUGGGGGCCGUGGCCCACUACUGGGCUGUGGCCUAUUUGCAACUGGGCCACAUGAGUGGCAGGCUGGUGCACCUGCAGAGCCCCACUUAUGUGAGUGGUGGGUGCCGGCGUUAGCUGCUCCACUCAAAUGAGCAGCAGGUGCUGGUGCUCGUAGCCCCACUUGGUGAGUGGUGGGUGCCGUCACUCACAGUUCCACUUGUGCGAUCAGCAUGUGUGUGCACCCACUGCUCACACAAAUGAAGCUGUGCAUGCGUGUGCGCCUGCCCCUCACACAAAUUUCUUCUGAUUUAUAUAGAAAGUCUUUUCCAUUUUCAGUGUUGUCAGUCCCUUUUCAGGAUAUUCCAUUGACUGUACUUGUUGGUCAAUAUAGUACUCUGUCUUAGUAUUUGAUUGCUCCACUUUUUCUGUUACCUUCUGCAUUGUUAGUUCUUUAGUUGUAGUCGAAUUUGGGUUUGUAUAUCUAAGCUGACAUCUUGUUCUUUUCUGUAACAUCUUAUUUUGUCACAAGCUGAAAGGAUGGUUUCAUGUAUUGCUUUCAACAUGGAAAGAAACUUUUCCUGGUCUCCAUCCAUCUUCUCUUAAUGAUGGGAGUGGCACUGGGAGAAUAUCUGAAGGACAGCAAAGAAGAUGCAUAGAAGGUAGUAGGCCAUAAAGGCUUACUGAAUACCGAAGACACCAAAUAGCCUAUAAGAAAGACCAAGUGAAGAACAGAAAAGAGACAUGACAAGGCAAAGUAUUACAUUGCCAAUACAUAAAAAAAAAAAAAAAAAUAGCAGACAAAACAGAUCAGAACACAACCUGGUAAUGAUUGAGCAAAAACAUUGAAGAAAGAGAGAGAGGAGCUAAUUCUGGCUGCUCAAGACUAAGCCUCAAGAAUAAAUGCAUACAAAGUCAGAAUAGAGAAAAUAGCAGCAGACAGCAAAUGGUGCCUCUGCAAAGAAGCUGAAGAAACAACAAACAUUGAUUCUGGCUACCUGGAUGGCAUAUUCAGAGGCUGGCAUUGCAAGCCGAAUUUUCAAAAGACACUGUUGUCCAGUGGAAAUUAUAAAGUGGGGCAUAUGACCUGAAACCUCUUUCCCAAGGCUAGAGGGUUCAAUACUUAUGAUCCUGCAUCAUAAAACCGGAAGGCUGACUCAUGUGUGGUUGCUUCAGCUUCUGAGCACAGUGAUUCGGAUGACCUGCCUUUGGAGGAACAAAUGUGUGCAUCGUCUCCAUAUGUGACCAAAGCUGAUCCUCUUCCAAGAAAAGGAGAAAGAAAAAUAAAAAGAAACAGACUCCAACUGAAACCUUCUUCAUAGAUAUCUGAAGGACCUGGAGGACCAGUUUAUCAUUCCCUAGGGAUGGAUUGAUGGGAAUCAGCAGUUGGCCGGGCUUUCCUAAGCUGUGUGGAGAAGCCUGUAUUUGAACUACCAGCCUUCAGGAUUCAAGCCUCUUGCAUAUUAACUUGAGAAAAUUGCUGUCAUUAAGGCAGCAGAGUUAAUACUGCACAUUCUCCCAGUAGUUCUAUGUGUUCAUAAACUAAUGGCUGCAAAGGGAUUUGGUUAGAUGAAUCAUUCUAGCACAUGCAGACGAUGAAGAUAAUGUUAAGAGAAUAUGUUUUGAAUCGUGACAAGGAGUUUUAUGAAUCCAGGAGAAUGACCUUCAGAGACAGGAGAAAGAGCCACAAAUUAGACAACCAUCAUGCAAGAGAAUCUCAGCCCACAGGAAGAAAACUGAUGUAGAAAGCAUUUCAGAAGGUAUCCAUUCUAGUUUCCUUGAAAGUAAAAGUAAGGGAGGAGAGAAAAAUAUUUGGUCAUGCAAGAUGCUGUUAUUGUGGAAUAAGAUACUGUAAAAAUAUAAAUAAAAUUAAAUAAAAUUAAAUAAAUAAAUAGAAAAAUGACUCAUAGUUUGGGCUUCUAGUCUAGGCUGCCUUAAAGGGCUGACACUACUUGAUGUUUUGGAGGCUGGCAAAGUCCCAUUCCAUCCCCAUCGCAUCCUCAACAUUAGUGGGUAGCUCCCCCCUCCCACAUAAGAGUAAGAAUAAAAAUGGCUAUGAGAGUUGGAUCCUAAGGAAGGCUGAGCACUGAUGAAUUGAUGCUUUUGAAUUGUGGUGCUGGAGAAAACUCUUGAGAGUCCCUAAGGAGAUCAAAUCAGUCAAUCCUAAAGGAAAUCAACCCUGAUUCUUCUUUGGAAGGACUGAUGCUGAAGCUGAAGCUCAAGUACUUUAGCCACCAAAUGAGAAGAGAGGACUCAUUGGAAAAGACCCUGAUGUUGGGAACGAUUGAGGGCAAAAGGUGAAGGGGACGGUGGAGGAUGAGAUGUUUAGAUGAGCUGGUUAGAUAGUAUUAUCGAUGCAAUGAACAUGAGUUUGACAAACUCCAGGGGACAGUGGAGGACAGAGGGUUGGUGUUUUAUGGUCCAUGGGGUCAUGAAGAGAUAUGACUUGACUGAACAUCAAAAAAGAAUAAUUCAUAAGCCAGAUAAUUCUUGUAAAUUCUGUAUACUCUUUAUACUCUUACCAAAGAUGGUGUGAGAUUUCAGGGGAGAAUAUAUAAGAUCUCUUGAGAUGUCUAAAAAGUUUUAAUUAGUUUAUUUAUUUUUAAAAUUCAGGUGCCCCUGACAUUACAUGAAAUUGAAACUGACUCUGAAAAACUAGAGCAAUCCUUAUCAUAUUUUCUGUUCCUUUGUAAUUUAUGGAUCAAAGUGAACAUAAAUUAUUAUAAAUUGUUUAAUUAUAAUAAAAUUGUUAUAUUAAGGAAAGAUAACUUCUGAAAACCACAGCUCUCAUCAUUGAUCACUGUUAUUAUCCAUUCCAUA